This is a long non-coding RNA of Pezoporus flaviventris, 1087 nucleotides long. RefSeq lists it as uncharacterized. Lineage: Eukaryota; Metazoa; Chordata; Aves; Psittaciformes; Psittacidae. The record is from RefSeq and is a predicted model, not a curated record. The transcript has 2 exons.
UCCAUGAACUACAGGAAGCCUUUUUAGGGGAGCGGGGGGCUGAGCAGUCUUCUGAACAACCGCAGGAUGAGUCUACAUAAUGUGUGAGAAACCCGAUGGCAAAUUGUGAGAGUUGGGAUUUGCUCUAAUGUCAUUCACAAAUUUGUUUUUUUCACAUCAGCGUUCCCUGGUGGGAUGUGCACUACAGUAGCUGUGGCGACCUGUGGUUUUCUAGUGAUCUGUUGUGUAAAUUGUAGAGACAAUCCUUAGUGGCUGACCUUGAUGCUGACUUGUGGACCACCACCAAAUGUGAAAUACGGAGGUAGAGGGUUGAUUCAGAUUUCUUAAAAAUCAUGUGGAAGAUGGUUUGUCAGCAUGCAAAGGAGAGUUGUAACUUAAAUAAGCACCAAAUAAUGUGAAGACUGCAUUCUAAGGAAGAAAUGAGUAAGUCAUACAGUGUAUGAUCUGAAACUUUCUGAGAAGGUAUUGGUGAGAAACUGAUUCAAGGAUGUUAAAGUUGACUGUAAUACUGAAAGCAUUUGUACAUGUUAAUGUUGUUGUUGCAGUAGUUACCCCUAAAUUGGGAAGUCAGUUUGGUAGGGCUUAGGUCCUCUGUUAUUUCUGCAACUUGGAGCAUGUGUGGGGACAGAGAGGGAGAAUGAAAUGCAAAAUUUGAGUUAUGUCUUGAAUUUCUUGAAAAUGUGUACUUUACCCUCAGAAAGCAGAACAACUGAAGUCAGUUAAGAAGAAUGGGUACUGGAAGAUUUGAUGUAUUUUAAAGGAAUAAAUCCAAAUAGAGAUUUUCAGAUCUUGCUGAUUUAUUUAAAGGGCCAUUUAUGACUUUCAUGAGUUGAUGGUAAACCUCCAGUUACACUGAACCAGAAUUUAGUUUCACUCUUGGCUCUAAACAAGCAAAAAUAUUGAUAAUGUGUUAAGAAUGAAUGGAAAUGUUUUGUUUGUGGUUAGGUACACAGAACAUUUCCUCACUUUCAGUACUGUUUGUACGUUCUGAGCAAAACUAACCAAAGCAUGUGUAGCCACAGGAGCUGUGCCAUCUUCUGCACUGUAAUUCUCUUUCAAAUAAAUAAAGCUGUGUGUCCCAAAGGCA